Molecule: transfer-messenger RNA, 382 nt
Filed under: Treponema sp.
Lineage: Bacteria; Pseudomonadati; Spirochaetota; Spirochaetia; Treponematales; Treponemataceae
Also listed under: 1 other name
Rfam family: transfer-messenger RNA
About the family: Bacterial tmRNA, also known as 10Sa RNA or SsrA, is named for its dual tRNA and mRNA-like properties. Its role is to liberate the mRNA from a stalled ribosome.
Source: RNAcentral
GGGGGUGCUCCGGUUUCGACGGACGCGAUAAAGCUUGAGUUGCAGGCGGGAGUGAAGGUUCCCUAAACUGACAAAACUUAUAACUGCCAAACGUAGAGAAGACGAAGAGUCUGAAAACGAACAGUUAGCUCUCGCGGCGUAAGUCGCGGCUUAAAAGAGCCGGAAAUCUUUUCGCGCUGUUCCUAGCGGAAGGAAUUUCUGUUGCUGACAGGGACUUGCUUGCCGUCCUUUUCGUCGGGCGGAUGAGGACUUUUAGACGGAAUACGGAAAAGACGCCUGCCAUGCCGCUACCUUUUCCCGACAAAUACCUCGCUUGGCUAAGCCUGUAGACGCGCCUGAUUUGCGCGCCCGGACGGGGGUUCGAUUCCCCCCAUCUCCAGCG